GACGAACGCUGGCGGCGUGCCUAAUACAUGCAAGUAGAACGCACAGUUUAUACCGUAGCUUGCUACACCAUAAACUGUGAGUUGCGAACGGGUGAGUAACGCGUAGGUAACCUGCCUGGUAGCGGGGGAUAACUAUUGGAAACGAUAGCUAAUACCGCAUAAUAUUGAUUAUUGCAUGAUAAUUGAUUGAAAGAUGCUAUUGCAUCACUACCAGAUGGACCUGCGUUGUAUUAGCUAGUAGGUGAGGUAACGGCUCACCUAGGCGACGAUACAUAGCCGACCUGAGAGGGUGAUCGGCCACACUGGGACUGAGACACGGCCCAGACUCCUACGGGAGGCAGCAGUAGGGAAUCUUCGGCAAUGGACGAAAGUCUGACCGAGCAACGCCGCGUGAGUGAAGAAGGUUUUCGGAUCGUAAAGCUCUGUUGUAAGAGAAGAACGGGUGCGAGAGUGGAAAGUUCACACUGUGACGGUAUCUUACCAGAAAGAGACGGCUAACUACGUG
This 505-nucleotide ribosomal RNA is filed under the name uncultured bacterium. Its description in RNAcentral is "partial 16S ribosomal RNA". It matches the Rfam family "Bacterial small subunit ribosomal RNA", at positions 28 to 507 of the family's 1533-position model. The record is from RNAcentral.